UGGGCUGUCGACAAGUGGUAAGUCAGCAGAUUUUGAUUCUGCCAUGCGAAGGUUCGAACCCUUCCAGCCCAG
Molecule: transfer RNA, 72 nt
Filed under: Halobacteriovorax marinus SJ
Lineage: Bacteria; Pseudomonadati; Bdellovibrionota; Bacteriovoracia; Bacteriovoracales; Halobacteriovoraceae
Description: Bacteriovorax marinus SJ tRNA
Rfam family: tRNA
About the family: Transfer RNA (tRNA) molecules are approximately 80 nucleotides in length.
Source: Rfam by way of RNAcentral